This 245-nucleotide ribosomal RNA is filed under the name uncultured bacterium. RNAcentral's name for it is "partial 16S ribosomal RNA". It matches the Rfam family "Bacterial small subunit ribosomal RNA", at positions 524 to 768 of the family's 1533-position model. The record is from RNAcentral.
UACGUAGGUGGCGAGCGUUGUCCGGAAUUACUGGGUGUAAAGGGCGUGUAGGCGGGAGAUUAAGUCAGAUGUGAAAUUCCCAGGCUCAACUUGGGCGCUGCAUCUGAAACUAAUUUUCUUGAGUGCUGGAGAGGAAAGCGGAAUUCCUAGUGUAGCGGUGAAAUGCGUAGAUAUUAGGAGGAACACCAGUGGCGAAGGCGGCUUUCUGGACAGUAACUGACGCUGAGGCGCGAAAGCGUGGGGAG